AGGUGACGUGAGGGGAGAACUCGACGUUCAAUAUUUUGAGAAUGUCUAUAAAUGAGAGCCCAACACAGAUAUGGGCCCAAAGCCAUUAGGUUUGCCUUCUGAAGACAAAUAAUUAAACAAAGAAAGACAAACAAUAUACAUGGAAUUUUGAAAAUAACGACCUCGUGCACAAAAAAUAGAAUAGGUAGCCAUGAUUAGAGACUAAUGACGUUCGUACAAUAAAGUAAAAGAACAAAAGCGUGUGCAAUUUCUUCUAACCCUUUUUCACCCAAUCUUCCUCCCAAAUCUAUGGAUGCUAACUUUAUAUGACGUCGUUAGGUCUCUUUUGGUGAGACUCGUGUAUACUUUUGUAUAUACUUCUUUUUGCGUUUUUGUGAUUGUACUUAAUACUUAAUGUUUCUAUAUGAUUGUUAUAGUCUCUUAUUAAAUUCUUAAUUAUCACUCUGUUUCUUUCUAGUUUCAUAUCAUUAUAGCAAUAUAUCAUCAUAUGUGAUAUCGUGAUAUGUACAUAAUAAAAAUGUUUCAAUAGUUUCUCUUAUAUCUGUAAAUAAUGAAAAUGUUCACAGUCAACGUUUUCAAAAGUAAAAAAAUAAAAACAGAAACAUAUAUUCUAAAAAAUGAAAAAUCGAGACACACAAUUGUUGACAAAAUACUGAUCAUUUAAUUUCCAAGACCAAAUUUAUCAAAUCUAGACAGAUGUUUGUUCCAAAUUUAUCAAAGCUCGAAUACAUAAAAUCUUUAUCGUAUAAAGAAUACUUGUUUUAAUCAUAUGACCGAGAGAUAUUCAGUUCAGAACUCAGACUAUCUGAAGCGUUAAUAAUUUUUAAAUCACAUGAUUCGAUAAGAACCAAAUAUAUAAAUAUAUCUAAGCAAGAAAAUACUAUAAGCUUUGGUUUUAAUAUAGUUCCUAGGGUGGAUAUAAAAUAUCAGGAUAGAUACUAAAAGUAGGAGGACAAUAUUAUAUUUUUCCACAAGCCACGUGAACAAGAAGAGACACAUAGGGACUCUGUAUAAAAACGUCACGUAUGCGAUAAUGCUUAUGUAAGCUUCCUUUAUAUGUCUUCUUCCUCCCAUCUUUUGUCUACUCCUCAUGAAAAUUCGGAACAAAAAGAGAGGACCAUUUCCAUUUUUUAAUGGACGAAAAGAACUUCGACUUUUCACCUAGAGAUAGGUAUAUAUUAAAGCAGAGAGAAUUGCGGGAACAUUUUACAGAAAUUUGGUGUUGACAUUUUGUUAUUGUGGGUCUCUCUAUAUGCCUAGUUUUAAUAAUAAAACGAUUCUAGAAUAAUAUCAUGAGAAAAGAGUAAUUGAGGUAGACGG
Molecule: RNA transcript, 1320 nt
Organism: Arabidopsis thaliana (thale cress)
Lineage: Eukaryota; Viridiplantae; Streptophyta; Magnoliopsida; Brassicales; Brassicaceae
Exons: 1
Source: RefSeq